UGGGCAUGAAACACGAGGUUUAGUUACUAAGAACUUUAACCGUAAAAAACUGAAACAUUAAUGAAAUGGCAACUUUAAUAAAUUUAUUCUCAUCAUUGUACACUUUCUUUUCGGAUGGGUCAGCUUGUCCGAAUCUGGAGUGGAAAGUGGAAUAAAAGUACCGCCGGGGUUGGCAAUUCGAAGGGGAUCCAUCGGAAGUGGAGCAGUAUAUAUGUGACACCCGCCACUUUCAAAAUAUAAUAAAUUGAUAAAAGCGGAAAUAAAAUAAUAAUACAACUCAAAUAAUAAUAAUCUUCAUAUAAUAUAAAAGUCAAUACGGUAACAAAAGGCCUAAAAGCCCAACAUCGAUAACAUCCGAAAUAUAAAAUACGAUAUAAACCGAAAGUCUGAAAUAGGAAUAACAUAGACGAUAAAAGUCCAAAGGCCUAAAGGCCCGAUAAAGAUAAAAGCGGUAAAAGUGAUAGAAGCCCAAAAGCCCAAUAGCACCGGUCCGAUAAUCACUCCUGCUCAUCGGUCUCACCUAAAAGGGGGAAAGAAUGAGGGGUGAGCGACAGGGGAAUCGCUCAGCGAGGUAUGGGAUGCUACCCCGAAGUCCAUGGACCCGGACAUAGCACUCCGAAUAAAUAUAAUUUAAUUCUAAUGCAUGUCAAACACAGUACCUAAAGUACUCAAGCAACAAACAAUGGUCCUAGCGAGGUGCGCACUCGCCGCCCA
This 714-nucleotide long non-coding RNA is filed under the name Brassica napus (rape). RNAcentral's name for it is "long non-coding RNA (BNAP_LNC010588)". The record is from RNAcentral. Lineage: Eukaryota; Viridiplantae; Streptophyta; Magnoliopsida; Brassicales; Brassicaceae.